GUACACACCGCCCGUCUCUAUUACCGAUUGAGUGUUAAGGUGAACCUUCUCGAUAGAGCAACUAAAAAUUAAGUAAACCUUGACACUUAGAGGAAUAAAAGUCGUAACAAGGUUUCCGUAGGUGAACCUGCAGAGGAUCA
This 140-nucleotide ribosomal RNA is filed under the name uncultured eukaryote. RNAcentral describes it as "partial small subunit ribosomal RNA". It matches the Rfam family "Eukaryotic small subunit ribosomal RNA", at positions 1662 to 1828 of the family's 1831-position model. The record is from RNAcentral.